This 78-nucleotide microRNA precursor is filed under the name Bucorvus abyssinicus (Abyssinian ground-hornbill). Its description in RNAcentral is "mir-103/107 microRNA precursor family". It matches the Rfam family "mir-103/107 microRNA precursor family". Rfam says of the family: This family consists of the mammalian microRNA (miRNA) precursors mir-103 and mir107. Animal miRNAs are transcribed as ~70nt precursors and subsequently processed by the Dicer enzyme to give a ~22nt product. In this case the mature sequence comes from the 3' arm of the precursor. Lineage: Eukaryota; Metazoa; Chordata; Aves; Bucerotiformes; Bucorvidae. The record is from Rfam by way of RNAcentral. RNAcentral also lists the same sequence under 2 other names.
CUUUGCUUUAAGCUUCUUUACAGUGUUGCCUUGUGGCAUGGAGUUCAAGCAGCAUUGUACAGGGCUAUCAAAGCAUGG